AUUUUCACCUGCCCCUUUAAGGGCAGGAGGUUACCGUGGUUACGCAACUCCAGUCAUGUUUGUGCUGGGGUCGAGUGUGGGAAAAUACUGCAGUUUUUCCAAUGUAUCGAAAUAAUGUAUUGUAAUAGCAUUGUGCAAUUUCCCGCAAGACAUAGUUUCACACACUACAAAGGGUAAAGAGUGCGAGAAAAGUGGGAGACAGGCAGGGAGACAGGCAGGGAGACAGGCAGGGAGACAGGCAGGGAGACAGACAGGGAGACAGACAGGGAGACAGGCAGGGAGACAGGCAGGGAGACAGACAGGUUCUUGGUGCUGUGUAGAAACAGCAGGCCCAGGGAGGAGGAACACAAGAAUGAAGACAGGAGUGAAGGCACACAGCAAACCUUUUUGUUUCAUUUUUACUUGUUUUCACCUACACACACACUUUUCCACAGUGGACCCGAACACCACACAUGUAACAUGUGAACAGUGGGCACUCAAGGAAAAUGUGUUAUUUUACAUGUUCUUCACAGAAAAUGAGCCAAGGCCAAUGAGUUAAAAUUAUUAAUUGUAUAAUUUUUAUUUGAAUAAAGUCCACAAACAAAGGGAAAAGGUGACAGGAGGAGAGUGCAUAGAGGAUAGAAUGCAUACAACGUGGCUGCUAUGAAACUUAAGUGAACUGUGUUAAUGCUUGAUCAGGGGUGUAUUCAUUCUGCCGAUUCUGUUGAAAAACGCUUCUUAAACAGAAGCAAACGAAAUGGGGAUGAAAAUACCUGAAUUUGUCCAAUAGAAACUCUCGUUUGCAAUUGUUGGACUAAUGAUUACACACUAGAUUAGAUAGAUGCAGGCAAGAGUUGUGCAAGGCGGUAAUGAAUGUGUCACUGUCAUCUCAAAUUUUUCUCUCGACCUGUGUGCACCUACAUUGUAAAAGUUCAUUCAUAGGCUAUGUUGUAGCAACCUCAUGAUGGGUAUAGGGAAAAUUAGAGUAUCAUGUUGUAGUCUAAACCUAUCAAUGUUACAAUGAACUGGGUGAAUAGAAUAGGAAUGCGAGUCAUCCAACACGCUGUAAUAGAAAUAAGACCAUGGUCAUGAAAAAUAAAAUCCUCCCUCAUCACUUACCGCCACUGGUGUAGAAAUGCACUAAAUUAGUUUCAGAUGCCCAAAACAUUCUCACCAGGUUAUGUCCCCCCCAGUGGCGGUCAGUGUCUUUUAUGAUGAGGGAGGACACUUUUGUUUUUCAUGAGCAUGGCCUUAUUUCUGUUAUAGCAUGUAGCAACAUGGUGUAGCCAGAGGACAGCUAGCUUCUGUCCUCCUCGUGGUAUAUUGACUUCUGUUGAGGCUACUGUAGACCUUCA
Oncorhynchus tshawytscha (Chinook salmon) is the source of this 1334-nucleotide long non-coding RNA. The record is from Ensembl. NCBI's taxonomy places the organism in Eukaryota, Metazoa, Chordata, Actinopteri, Salmoniformes, Salmonidae.